GGAGUUAUGAAAUGUAGACUCGCUAAUAUCGGGUCUAUUUGACAAAGGCUCCAAAGGAAGCCACGGCUAACUCUGUGCCAGCAGCCGCGGUAAUACAGAGGUGGCAAGCGUUGUUCGGAAUUAUUGGGCGUAAAGAGCACGUAGGUGGAUUUGUAAGUCAGACGUGAAAGCCUUCUGUUCAACGGAAGAAUUGCAUCUGAAACUACAAACCUUGAGUGUAGGAGGGGAGAGUGGAACUUCUGGU
This 244-nucleotide ribosomal RNA is filed under the name uncultured anaerobic ammonium-oxidizing bacterium. Its description in RNAcentral is "partial 16S ribosomal RNA". It matches the Rfam family "Bacterial small subunit ribosomal RNA", at positions 439 to 674 of the family's 1533-position model. The record is from RNAcentral.